This 429-nucleotide ribosomal RNA is filed under the name Chloroflexota bacterium. RNAcentral describes it as "Chloroflexi bacterium partial 16S ribosomal RNA". It matches the Rfam family "Bacterial small subunit ribosomal RNA", at positions 355 to 776 of the family's 1533-position model. Lineage: Bacteria; Bacillati; Chloroflexota. The record is from RNAcentral.
UGGGGAAUAUUGCACAAUGGGCGCAAGCCUGAUGCAGCCAUGCCGCGUGUAUGAAGAAGGCCUUCGGGUUGUAAAGUACUUUCAGUCGGGAGGAAGGUGGUAAGGUUAAUAACCUUAUCAAUUGACGUUACCGACAGAAGAAGCACCGGCUAACUCCGUGCCAGCAGCCGCGGUAAUACGGAGGGUGCAAGCGUUAAUCGGAAUUACUGGGCGUACAGCGCACGCAGGCGGUUGAUUGAGUCAGAUGUGAAAUCCCCGGGCUUAACCCGGGAAUUGCAUCUGAUACUGGUCAGCUAGAGUCUUGUAGAGGGGGGUAGAAUUCCAUGUGUAGCGGUGAAAUGCGUAGAGAUGUGGAGGAAUACCGGUGGCGAAGGCGGCCCCCUGGACAAAGACUGACGCUCAGGUGCGAAAGCGUGGGGAGCAAACAGG